GCCAUCUGGGUAGGGGCUGAGUGGUUAGAGAGAGAGACCAUCUGGGUAGGGGCUGAGUGGUUAGAGAGAGAGAGACCAUCUGGGUAGGGGCUGAGUGGUUAGAGAGAGAGAGACCAUCUGGGUAGGGGCUGAGUGGUUAGAGAGAGAGAGAGAGACCAUCUGGGUAGGGGCUGAGUGGUUAGAGAGAGAGACCAUCUGGGUAGGGGCUGAGUGGUUAGAGAGAGAGACCAUCUGGGUAGGGGCUGAGUGGUUAGAGAGAGAGAGACCAUCUGGGUAGGGGCUGAGUGUGGUUAGAGAGAGAGAGACCAUCUGGGUAGGGGCUGAGUGGUUAGAGAGAGAGAGAGACCAUCUGGGUAGGGGCUGAGUGGUUAGAGAGAGAGAGACCAUCUGGGUAGGGGCUGAGUGGUUAGAGAGAGAGACCAUCUGGGUAGGGGCUGAGUGGUUAGAGAGAGAGAGACCAUCUG
This 464-nucleotide long non-coding RNA is filed under the name Salmo salar (Atlantic salmon). RNAcentral's name for it is "lncRNA (ENSSSAG00000096181.1)". The record is from RNAcentral. Lineage: Eukaryota; Metazoa; Chordata; Actinopteri; Salmoniformes; Salmonidae.